ACUUGCGGGGGAAGCGCGCGGCGAGAGGAGCCCGAGGCGGAAAAGUAGCUGUCAAAUGCGCGGCGCCUUUAAGCGGAGCCCUCAGUCCGGCUCGGAGAGUCAUGGCGACCACCGCGUCUAACCACUACAGCCUGCUCGCCUCCAGCUCGCCCAUGGUGCACGCCGAGCCGCCGGGGAGCAUGCAGCCGGGCGCCGGCUACAGGGACGCCCAGGCGCUGGUGCAGGCGGACUACGCGCUGCAGAGCAACGGGCACCCGCUCAGCCACGCUCACCAGUGGAUCACGGCGCUGUCCCACGGCGGCGGAGGAGGCGGCGGCGGCGGCGGGGGUGGCGGCGGCGGCGGCGGCGGGGACUCGCCCUGGUCCUCCAGCCCGCUGAGCCAGCAGGACAUCAAGCCCUCGGUUGUGCAGGCCGGCGGCCGGGGGGACGAGCUGCAGCAGCAGCAGCACCACCCGCAGCAGCAGCAGCAGCAGCAGCAGCAGCCCGGCAGACCGCCACACCUGGUGCACCACGCCGGCAGCCACCACGCCGCCGUGGCCGCGGCCGUGGCCUGGAGGACCGGCGGCUCGGCUCACCUGCCGCCGGGCAUGGCGGCGUCCAACGGCGGCGGCCAGGGCGGGCUCCUCUACUCGCAGCCGCCGGGCUUCACGGUCAACGGGAUGCUGGGCGCGGGACAGCCGAGCAUGCACCACCACGGCCUGCGGGAAGCCCACGAGGAGCAGCAGCAGCAGCAGCAGCAGCAGCCGCCGCCCCCUCCGCCGCCCCCGCAUCACCCCGACCACCUCCCCCAGGCGCCGCCGCACCCGCACGCCGGCCAGCCGCCGCCGCACCACCUCCCGCACCACCACCACGAGGCGCACUCGGACGAGGACACGCCGACCUCGGACGACCUGGAGCAGUUCGCCAAGCAGUUCAAGCAGCGGCGGAUCAAACUGGGAUUUACCCAAGCGGACGUGGGCUUGGCGCUGGGCACGCUCUACGGCAACGUCUUCUCGCAGACCACCAUCUGCCGCUUCGAGGCCCUGCAGCUGAGCUUCAAGAACAUGUGCAAGUUGAAGCCCUUGUUGAACAAGUGGCUCGAGGAGGCGGACUCGUCGUCGGGCAGCCCCACCAGCAUAGACAAGAUCGCGGCGCAAGGGCGCAAGCGGAAAAAGCGCACCUCCAUCGAGGUGAGCGUCAAGGGCGCCCUCGAGAGCCAUUUCCUCAAGUGCCCCAAGCCCUCCGCCCAGGAGAUCACCUCGCUGGCGGACAGCCUCCAGCUCGAGAAGGAGGUGGUCCGCGUGUGGUUUUGUAACAGGAGACAGAAAGAGAAACGCAUGACCCCCCCGGGGGGGACUCUGCCGGGAGCCGAGGACGUGUAUGGGGCCAGCAGGGACACGCCGCCGCCGCCGCACCACGGGGUACAGACUCCUGUGCAGUGAACUCCGCCGCCACCGGCGGAGCGGGAGGAGCAGGGAGUGACCUGGGGAGGGGGGCCGGCCCCUGGCCCCCUCCCCCUAACCCCCUUACUCCUCCAGCCUUUUGAUUGUUUCCCUCCUCCCCCCCUUAAAACAAACAAAACAAAACAAAAAAGGCAGACAAACAGGAAGGAAGGAAGGCGACUGCGCUGAACUCUCCCUGAAACGGUAGCAAAGUGUGUAAUGAAUGGUGUGUUUUGACCUUUACAGGCGACUAACCAGGCAAUGGAGUGCAUUUGUUCUUCCAAAUUCGAGAAGAAAAAGUUUGCAUGCUUCUUUGUGCUACUGCUAAUGGAGGGGAUCCUGGUGAUGUCUGCAGGGGGUCAGGAGCAGUAGAAUUGGUUCUCGGAUGCAACAGGCCCACAGAAAAUAACUUGCUUCUCUGUGUACUGAAGGAACAAGACUGGGGAGAUGCUCUUCCCCUCCCUUCAAAUCACCCCCUGACAACGUUGCUUCAAAGCUGCCUUUAAUUACGGAACAACUUGCUUGAUAGCCGGAUAGAAGAACGCGGCCUUCCCUUCACAAAGCGUCUAAAUUCCACAAGCUCUCUAUCUAUUCAACGAGCCCUAAUGGGCUUUGGCUUCUCAUAUUAUUAUUCAUUAUCAUCUCUGGGGUGGUUCUGGAUUAUGUGGUUUCUUCGCUCACCACAUCUUGUUUUAUCUCUCUCUUUCAUUGUUGUUAUUGCUGGGUCGUGUUGGUGUUCAGUUUUCACCAUGGAAUGAAUUAUUCCUAUUUAACACACAAUAGGGGAGAACACUACACGGUUACAGGGCUGCUUUCAUUUCUGCUUUUUCUUUUAUAAUGCUCUUGCAGCAAGAACUUCGCAAGAGCGUCAUGCAAGGGAGCAUUUAAAUGUAACCCCCCCUCCCAAUGCCUGUGAAACCUUUCACACAGAGAAAGAACCGCAGAACUAUUUACCAGCAAAUACUUAAACAUGCUAUACCAUUUCGCUUGAAUAAUCACAGGAUGCUGACACCCACAAAAAGACAAAAAGUCAUUAUUACUUUCCAAACAUUUACCAAAAAAAACAACAACACCCCACACCCUGGACUAGUCUCAUCAAAUGUUGUGGCACUGUUGAGGAGUAAUUGGGUUGCAGUCUGUUUAAUUCUCAUUGUGCUUCCUCUAGCCACUGAGGUCACUUGACACUUGUGCGUACGCAUUGUCAUUUGUUGCCCAAUUGCUGUGACAAGAACCAAGUACCCCAUUACUAUCAGGUACCUGCUAGGUGACCACUAAGCAAUGCCCAUAGACAGAGGCAAUUUCACUAUACGUUAAUGAGAAUCUACCAGGAGUGAACUGCUUUCUACCUCUGCCAUGAUUUCAGGACAGAUGGCAACUUUUUGAAGGGGUAGGUUCCAUAGAAAUGUAUGGUGUGCUCUAAAACUGCUCUGGAUUAAUCAGUUUAAGUGUUGUGAGCUAUAUCAUCUGUCCUACAAGAACUACACAAAAUGUGAAAUGUAUAAUGACAAAAUAGGGGAAGCUUUUUUUAAAAAAAUGGGAUCCUCUUUUGAACUUCAGAAAUUUGUCCAAUAAAAAAAUGUCACCUUA
This is an RNA transcript of Sphaerodactylus townsendi, 3008 nucleotides long. It is a transcript of the gene named POU class 3 homeobox 2, with no coding region annotated. The record is from RefSeq and is a predicted model, not a curated record. The transcript has 3 exons. Lineage: Eukaryota; Metazoa; Chordata; Lepidosauria; Squamata; Sphaerodactylidae.